GGAUCCGUGGCUCAGCGGUAGAGCGUUCGCUUCACAUGCGAAAGGUCGAUGGUUCAAAUCCAUCCGGAUCCA
Molecule: transfer RNA, 72 nt
Filed under: Candidatus Blackburnbacteria bacterium
Lineage: Bacteria; Candidatus Blackburniibacteriota
Description: tRNA-Val
Rfam family: tRNA
About the family: Transfer RNA (tRNA) molecules are approximately 80 nucleotides in length.
Source: RNAcentral